UAUAACCGGUACGGGNCCGCGGGAGCGGUAGCCCGGAGAUGGGCACUUAGACAAGNGCCCAGGCCCUACGGGGCGCAGCAGUCGCGCAACCUCUGCAAUACGCGAAAGCGUGACAGGGCUAUCCCGAGUGCCGUCCGCUGAGGAUGGCUUUUCUCUGGUGUAGUGAGCCGGAGGAAUAAGGAGAGGGCAAGUCUGGUGUCAGCCGCCGCGGUAAUACCAGCUCUCCGAGUGGUAGGGACGAUUAUUGGGCCUGAAGCGUCCGUAGCCGGCUAAGUAAGUUUCCCGUUAAAUCCAGCGAUCUAAUCGUUGGCUUGCGGGAAAUACUGUUUGGCUAGGGGGCGAGAGAGGCCAACGGUAUUUCCGGGGUAGGGGUGAAAUCUUAUAAUCCCGGGAGGACCACCAGUGGCGAAGGCUGUUGGCUAGAACGCGCUCGACGGUGAGGGACGAAAGCUGGGGGAGCGAACCGGAUUAGAUACCCGGGUAGUCCCAGCUGUAAACGAUGUGGACUAGGUGUUAGGGCGGCUACGAGCCGCUCUAGUGCCGCAGGAAAGCCAUUAAGUCCACCGCCUGGGGAGUACGGCCGCAAGGCUGAAACUUAAAGGAAUUGGCGGGGGAGCAC
RNAcentral lists this ribosomal RNA (619 nucleotides) under uncultured archaeon. Its description in RNAcentral is "bacterial SSU rRNA". It matches the Rfam family "Archaeal small subunit ribosomal RNA", at positions 259 to 879 of the family's 1478-position model. The record is from RNAcentral.